RNAcentral lists this ribosomal RNA (1445 nucleotides) under uncultured organism. Its description in RNAcentral is "SSU rRNA". It matches the Rfam family "Bacterial small subunit ribosomal RNA". The record is from RNAcentral.
AACGCUAGCUACAGGCUUAACACAUGCAAGUCGAGGGGCAGCAGGAUCUAGCAAUAGAUUGCUGGCGACCGGCGCACGGGUGUGUAACACGUAUCCAACCUGCCGAUAACUCGGGGAUAGCCUUUCGAAAGAAAGAUUAAUACCCGAUGGUAUAAUCAGACCGCAUGGUCUUGUUAUUAAAGAAUUUCGGUUAUCGAUGGGGAUGCGUUCCAUUAGGCAGUUGGUGAGGUAACGGCUCACCAAACCUUCGAUGGAUAGGGGUUCUGAGAGGAAGGUCCCCCACAUUGGAACUGAGACACGGUCCAAACUCCUACGGGAGGCAGCAGUGAGGAAUAUUGGUCAAUGGGCGCGGGCCUGAACCAGCCAAGUAGCGUGAAGGAUGACUGCCCUAUGGGUUGUAAACUUCUUUUAUAUGGGAAUAAAGUUUUCCACGUGUGGAAUUUUGUAUGUACCAUAUGAAUAAGGAUCGGCUAACUCCGUGCCAGCAGCCGCGGUAAUACGGAGGAUCCGAGCGUUAUCCGGAUUUAUUGGGUUUAAAGGGAGCGUAGGUGGACAGUUAAGUCAGUUGUGAAAGUUUGCGGCUCAACCGUAAAAUUGCAGUUGAUACUGGCUGUCUUGAGUACAGUAGAGGUGGGCGGAAUUCGUGGUGUAGCGGUGAAAAUGCUUAGAUAUCACGAAGAACUCCGAUUGCGAAGGCAGCUCACUGGACUGCAACUGACACUGAUGCUCGAAAGUGUGGGUAUCAAACAGGAUUAGAUACCCUGGUAGUCCACACAGUAAACGAUGAAUACUCGCUGUUUGCGAUAUACAGUAAGCGGCCAAGCGAAAGCAUUAAGUAUUCCACCUGGGGAGUACGCCGGCAACGGUGAGACUCAAAGGAAUUGACGGGGGCCCGCACAAGCGGAGGAACAUGUGGUUUAAUUCGAUGAUACGCGAGGAACCUUACCCGGGCUUAAAUUGCAUUUGAAUAUAUUGGAAACAGUAUAGUCGUAAGACAAAUGUGAAGGUGCUGCAUGGUUGUCGUCAGCUCGUGCCGUGAGGUGUCGGCUUAAGUGCCAUAACGAGCGCAACCCUUAUCUUUAGUUACUAACAGGUCAUGCUGAGGACUCUAGAGAGACUGCCGUCGUAAGAUGUGAGGAAGGUGGGGAUGACGUCAAAUCAGCACGGCCCCUACGUCCGGGGCUACACACGUGUUACAAUGGGGGGUACAGAAGGCAGCUACCUGGUGACAGGAUGCUAAUCCCAAAAGCCUCUCUCAGUUCGGAUCGAAGUCUGCAACCCGACUUCGUGAAGCUGGAUUCGCUAGUAAUCGCGCAUCAGCCAUGGCGCGGUGAAUACGUUCCCGGGCCUUGUACACACCGCCCGUCAAGCCAUGAAAGCCGGGGGUACCUGAAGUACGUAACCGCAAGGAGCGUCCUAGGGUAAAACUGGUAAUUGGGGCUAAG